UGAGGAAUAUUGGUCAAUGGGCGGAAGCCUGAACCAGCCAAGUAGCGUGCAGGAUGACGGCCCUAUGGGUUGUAAACUGCUUUUGCGCGGGGAUAAAUUGGGGAACGUGUUCCCCCUUGCAGGUACCGCGCGAAUAAGGACCGGCUAAUUCCGUGCCAGCAGCCGCGGUAAUACGGAAGGUCCUGGCGUUAUCCGGAUUUAUUGGGUUUAAAGGGAGCGCAGGCCGCCCCUUAAGCGUGUUGUGAAACCCGGGCGCCCAACGCCCGGCCUGCAGCGCGAACUGGGGGGCUUGAGUGCGCGCAACGCCGGCGGAAUUCGUCGUGUAGCGGUGAAAUGCUUAGAUAUGACGAGGAACCCCGAUUGCGAAGGCAGCCGGCGGGAGCGCAACUGACGCUUAUGCUCGAAGGCGCGGGUAUCGAACA
RNAcentral lists this ribosomal RNA (422 nucleotides) under uncultured Prevotella sp. Its description in RNAcentral is "bacterial SSU rRNA". It matches the Rfam family "Bacterial small subunit ribosomal RNA", at positions 355 to 774 of the family's 1533-position model. The record is from RNAcentral. Lineage: Bacteria; Pseudomonadati; Bacteroidota; Bacteroidia; Bacteroidales; Prevotellaceae.